This 468-nucleotide ribosomal RNA is filed under the name uncultured bacterium. RNAcentral describes it as "partial 16S ribosomal RNA". It matches the Rfam family "Bacterial small subunit ribosomal RNA", at positions 28 to 507 of the family's 1533-position model. The record is from RNAcentral.
GACGAACGCUGGCGGCGUGCUUAACACAUGCAAGUCGAACGGAAAGGCCCUGCUUUUGUGGGGUGCUCGAGUGGCGAACGGGUGAGUAACACGUGAGUAACCUGCCCUUGACUUUGGGAUAACUUCAGGAAACUGGGGCUAAUACCGGAUAGGAGCUCCUGCUGCAUGGUGGGGGUUGGAAAGUUUCGGCGGUUGUGGAUGGACUCGCGGCUUAUCAGCUUGUUGGUUGGGUAGUGGCUUACCCAGGCUUUGACGGGUAGCCGGCCUGAGAGGGGGACCGCAGUCAUUGGGACUGAGAUACGGACCAGACGCCUACGGGAGGCAGUAGUGGGGAAUAUUGCACAACGGGCGGAAGCGUGAUGCAGCAACGCCGCGUGCGGGAUGAAGGCCUUCGGGUUGUAAACCGCUUUCGCCUGUGACGAAGCGGGAGUGACGGUAAUGGGUAAAGAAGCACCGGCUAACUACGUG